This is a long non-coding RNA of Astyanax mexicanus (Mexican tetra), 855 nucleotides long. RefSeq lists it as uncharacterized. The transcript has 2 exons. The record is from RefSeq and is a predicted model, not a curated record. Lineage: Eukaryota; Metazoa; Chordata; Actinopteri; Characiformes; Acestrorhamphidae.
UGUGAUGUGUUUGUGCACUUUACGCUUAAUUUCAAGUUGAUUGUGAUGUACUAAGAGAAAGUACGUGAGAUUUCGCCUACGCACAGUUUGAUACAUCCAGAUUUUUUUUGUGCGUCUGGAACAUUUUAAUAGGAAGUUCACGCAAGUCUCAGUCUCAGUGAGACCCCUGAUACUGAACCAACAGCAGCUCCAGACCAUUACAUAACCCCAAACUGAGGGACGAGUGAAUGAAAGCGAUUGUGAUGGCAUGGACCUUUAUUUUGCUUUUUGCUGUGUUCCACUUCCUGGAGCGGCCAUUUUGUCUCUUCCUGGUUAGGCUUAUUGUUGCUGUUUUCCCCCCUUCAUGUAGUGGCUAAUUAGCAAAAUGGUUUCUUCCAUGCUCUGAUUGGUUUAGGCCCUGUUAAUUAGCCCCUUUGGCCUCCUUAAAGCAGACAACACAUGCACCCUUGCUCUCCAUUUUGAUUGGCCCCUCUAGCUGCUGCUGGAAGCUCCUGUUUGAAGCCAAUGCUGUUCAUGCUUUUAAGGUAAUGAUUACUGUUUUUAAGUACUUGAUUAAAAGCUAAUGUGUUAGUCCUUUGUUAGUAUUUCUUAUCUUUUGUGUUUAAUGACUGUUUGUUUUAUUAUCAGUUCCUGACUAUUGCCUUGAUUUUAUGUACGGUAGGCCCAGCCAUUCGGGUUUUAAGGCCCCUUGGAUGUGUGGAUUUAUGCAGUGGUGUUCAGUUGCAUAAAGAGCCCUGUGUUUUAAUUGAAUAACUAUAUUCUUGAUUUGGUACCAAUGUUUUAAUGAAAGUAAAAAUAAAUGUGAAUGAGAUUUCUAUUUUGUGUGGAAAAUAAAUUAAUUGUUUUGGAAACUUG